UAAGCCCGUUUUGGGCUCCCGGUUGAGCGCUCAACGCGCCCAGACAUGCAGUACGAAACGGGAAUUGGUUCGGUUCGGUUCGCCAAAUGGACGCCAAAGCUCUUGGCAAUUAUGUAAAGUGUCUGCGCAAGAAAUUUGCAAACGAAAAUGAAUAAAAUCGUGGUACCAUAAAACGAAACUCUAAACAAACA
Drosophila navojoa is the source of this 191-nucleotide long non-coding RNA. NCBI's taxonomy places the organism in Eukaryota, Metazoa, Arthropoda, Insecta, Diptera, Drosophilidae. The record is from RefSeq and is a predicted model, not a curated record.